UCAGAGGCGAUGAAGGACGUAGUAACUUGCGAAAAGCGUUGGUGAGCUAGUAACAAGCAUUUGAGCCAGCGAUGUCCGAAUGGGGAAACCCGGCAGCAUAAGCUGUCAUCACUAAGUGAAUACAUAGCUUAGUGAGGCGAACGAGGGGAACUGAAACAUCUAAGUACCCUUAGGAAAAGAAAUCAACCGAGAUUCCCCAAGUAGCGGCGAGCGAACGGGGAUUAGCCCUUAAGUCUUUGGGGU
This 243-nucleotide ribosomal RNA is filed under the name Shewanella algae. Its description in RNAcentral is "partial 23S ribosomal RNA". It matches the Rfam family "Bacterial large subunit ribosomal RNA", at positions 40 to 285 of the family's 2925-position model. Lineage: Bacteria; Pseudomonadati; Pseudomonadota; Gammaproteobacteria; Alteromonadales; Shewanellaceae. The record is from RNAcentral.